Molecule: non-coding RNA, 199 nt
Organism: Oryza barthii
Lineage: Eukaryota; Viridiplantae; Streptophyta; Magnoliopsida; Poales; Poaceae
Source: Rfam
UAUAAGUGUAACCGUGAGUUUCCGCGUUCAACUUUCAUGGUCCGUCUUAUUUGAAACUUUUUUAUAAUUAAUAUUUUUAUUUUUAUGAGAUAAUAAAAUAUGGGUAGUACUUUAUACGUGGCUUAUGUUUUUAAUUUUUUAAAAAAAUUAAAUUAGACGGACGAUUAAAGUUAAGUAAAAACUUAUGGUUAGUAGUAAC